GUCCACGCUGUAAACGGUGGGUACUAGGUGUGGGGGACAUUCCACGUUCUCUGUGCCGUAGCUAACGCAUUAAGUACCCCGCCUGGGGAGUACGGCCGCAAGGCUAAAACUCAAAGGAAUUGACGGGGCCCCCGCACAAGCGGCGGAGCAUGCGGAUUAAUUCGAUGCAACGCGAAGAACCUUACCUGGGUUUGACAUAUAUCGGAAAACGUUCAGAGAUGGGCGCCCCGUAAGGUCGGUAUACAGGUGGUGCAUGGCUGUCGU
RNAcentral lists this ribosomal RNA (264 nucleotides) under uncultured bacterium. RNAcentral's name for it is "partial 16S ribosomal RNA". It matches the Rfam family "Bacterial small subunit ribosomal RNA", at positions 793 to 1055 of the family's 1533-position model. The record is from RNAcentral.